GGUGAGUAACACGUGGGUAACCUGCCUGUAAGACUGGGAUAACUCCGGGAAACCGGGGCUAAUACCGGAUGGUUGUUUGAACCGCAUGGUUCAGACAUAAAAGGUGGCUUCGGCUACCACUUACAGAUGGACCCGCGGCGCAUUAGCUAGUUGGUGAGGUAACGGCUCACCAAGGCGACGAUGCGUAGCCGACCUGAGAGGGUGAUCGGCCACACUGGGACUGAGACACGGCCCAGACUCCUACGGGAGGCAGCAGUAGGGAAUCUUCCGCAAUGGACGAAAGUCUGACGGAGCAACGCCGCGUGAGUGAUGAAGGUUUUCGGAUCGUAAAGCUCUGUUGUUAGGGAAGAACAAGUGCCGUUCAAAUAGGGCGGCACCUUGACGGUACCUAACCAGAAAGCCACGGCUAACUACGUGCCAGCAGCCGCGGUAAUACGUAGGUGGCAAGCGUUGUCCGGAAUUAUUGGGCGUAAAGGGCUCGCAGGCGGUUUCUUAAGUCUGAUGUGAAAGCCCCCGGGCUCAACCGGGGAGGGUCAUUGGAAACUGGGGAACUUGAGUGCAGAAGAGGAGAGUGGAAUUCCACGUGUAGCGGUGAAAUGCGUAGAGAUGUGGAGGAACACCAGUGGCGAAGGCGACUCUCUGGUCUGUAACUGACGCUGAGGAGCGAAAGCGUGGGGGAGCGAACAGGAUUAGAUACCCUGGUAGUCCACGCCGUAAACGAUGAGUGCUAAGUGUUAGGGGGGUUUCCGCCCCUUAGUGCUGCAGCUAACGCAUUAAGCACUCCGCCUGGGGAGUACGGUCGCAAGACUGAAACUCAAAGGAAUUGACGGGGGCCCGCACAAGCGGUGGAGCAUGUGGUUUAAUUCGAAGCAACGCGAAGAACCUUACCAGGUCUUGACAUCCUCUGACAAUCCUAGAGAUAGGACGUCCCCUUCGGGGGCAGAGUGACAGGUGGUGCAUGGUUGUCGUCAGCUCGUGUCGUGAGAUGUUGGGUUAAGUCCCGCAACGAGCGCAACCCUUGAUCUUAGUUGCCAGCAUUCAGUUGGGCACUCUAAGGUGACUGCCGGUGACAAACCGGAGGAAGGUGGGGAUGACGUCAAAUCAUCAUGCCCCUUAUGACCUGGGCUACACACGUGCUACAAUGGACAGAACAAAGGGCAGCGAAACCGCGAGGUUAAGCCAAUCCCACAAAUCUGUUCUCAGUUCGGAUCGCAGUCUGCAACUCGACUGCGUGAAGCUGGAAUCCG
Molecule: ribosomal RNA, 1247 nt
Filed under: Bacillus amyloliquefaciens
Lineage: Bacteria; Bacillati; Bacillota; Bacilli; Caryophanales; Bacillaceae
Description: bacterial SSU rRNA
Rfam family: Bacterial small subunit ribosomal RNA
Source: RNAcentral